RNAcentral lists this ribosomal RNA (253 nucleotides) under uncultured bacterium. RNAcentral's name for it is "partial 16S ribosomal RNA". It matches the Rfam family "Bacterial small subunit ribosomal RNA", at positions 524 to 776 of the family's 1533-position model. The record is from RNAcentral.
AACGUAGGAGGCAAGCGUUAUUCGGAAUUAUUGGGCGUAAAGGGCGCGUAGGCGGCCAUUCAAGUGACGGGUGAAAGCCCUCGGCUUAACCGAGGAACUGCCUGUCAGACUGGAUGGCUUGAGACCGGGAGAGGUGAGUGGAAUUCCCAGUGUAGCAGUGAAAUGCGUAGAUAUCAGGAGGAACACCGAUUGCGAAGGCAGCUCGCUGGGACGUAACUGACGCUGAGACGCGAAAGCGUGGGGAGCAAACAGG